RNAcentral lists this ribosomal RNA (473 nucleotides) under uncultured bacterium. RNAcentral's name for it is "bacterial SSU rRNA". It matches the Rfam family "Bacterial small subunit ribosomal RNA", at positions 335 to 798 of the family's 1533-position model. The record is from RNAcentral.
ACUCCUACGGGAGGCAGCAGUGGGGAAUAUUGCACAAUGGGGGAAACCCUGAUGCAGCCAUGCCGCGUGUGUGAAGAAGGCCUUCGGGUUGUAAAGCACUUUCAGUAGGGAGGAAGGUAGUGUAGUUAACACCUGCAUUAUUUGACGUUACCUACAGAAGAAGCACCGGCUAACUCCGUGCCAGCAGCCGCGGUAAUACGGAGGGUGCGAGCGUUAAUCGGAAUUACUGGGCGUAAAGCGCAUGCAGGCGGCCUGUUAAGUCAGAUGUGAAAGCCCGGGGUCUUAACCUCGGAAUUGCAUUUGAAACUGGCAGGCUAGAGUCUUGUAGAGGGGUUAGAAUUUCAGGUGUAGCGGUGAAAUGCGUAGAGAUCUGAAGGAAUACCGAGUGGCGAAGGCGGCCCCUGGACAAAGACUGACGCUCAGAUGCGAAAGCGUGGGAGCGAAACAGGAUUAGAUACCCCGUGGUAGACUGU